Molecule: transfer RNA, 54 nt
Filed under: Ornithoptera priamus
Lineage: Eukaryota; Metazoa; Arthropoda; Insecta; Lepidoptera; Papilionidae
Also listed under: 2 other names
Description: tRNA-Ala
Source: RNAcentral
AGGAUUAUAGUUUAUUUAAAACAUUUGAUUUGCAUUCAAAAAAUAUUAAUUUUA